This is a long non-coding RNA of Sapajus apella (tufted capuchin), 182 nucleotides long. RefSeq lists it as uncharacterized. NCBI's taxonomy places the organism in Eukaryota, Metazoa, Chordata, Mammalia, Primates, Cebidae. The record is from RefSeq and is a predicted model, not a curated record. The transcript is spliced from 2 exons.
UGUAAACAAGAGCAGGGCAUGUAAAAUAAUAGAGACAGAGACUUUCUGAGGUGUGGUUUAAGUAUGAAAGGUAUGUUAGGAUUAUGCAGGGUUAUUCUUCCACUUUGGGGAUAUGGGUGAGUUUAAGAGAAGUGGGGAAGAGUACUUUUGGCUUCCAGGAGGAGGCAGAGGAGUUAGGCCAA